Termitomyces sp. Mi166#008 is the source of this 94-nucleotide non-coding RNA. The record is from the annotation of a GenBank genome assembly. Lineage: Eukaryota; Fungi; Basidiomycota; Agaricomycetes; Agaricales; Lyophyllaceae.
GCCCCCGUUGUCUAAUGGUUAUGACGUCAGACUUCUACUAGUUGGGAUGGCAGGUAUUAUCUGGAGGUUGCGGGUUCGAGUCCCGCCGGGGGUU